Molecule: ribosomal RNA, 443 nt
Filed under: Actinomycetota bacterium
Lineage: Bacteria; Bacillati; Actinomycetota
Description: bacterial SSU rRNA
Rfam family: Bacterial small subunit ribosomal RNA
Source: RNAcentral
UGGAGAGUUUGAUCCUGGCUCAGGACGAACGCUGGCGGCGUGCCUAACACAUGCAAGUCGAGCGGGAUCCAUCCAGUAGCAAUACUGGUGAAGAUCUAGCGGCGAACGGGUGAGUAACACGUGAGAAACCUGCCCCGGACUCUGGGAUAACACGAGGAAACUCGUGCUAAUACCGGAUACCUUCUUUUGGUCGCAUGGCCAGCUGAAGAAAGAUUUAUCGGUUUGGGAGGGUCUCGCGGCCUAUCAGCUAGUUGGCGGGGUAACGGCCCACCAAGGCAUCGACGGGUAGCUGGUCUGAGAGGACGAUCAGCCACACUGGGACUGAGACACGGCCCAGACUCCUACGGGAGGCAGCAGUGGGGAAUCUUGCGCAAUGGGCGAAAGCCUGACGCAGCAACGCCGCGUGCGGGAUGAAGGCCUUCGGGUUGUAAACCGCUUUCAGC